Molecule: long non-coding RNA, 873 nt
Organism: Nicotiana tabacum (common tobacco)
Lineage: Eukaryota; Viridiplantae; Streptophyta; Magnoliopsida; Solanales; Solanaceae
Source: RefSeq, a predicted model, not a curated record
ACAAACUCACUUCCAAAACCCCGGCGCCCAAUUUCAGAACCUGCUUCUCCUUGCUCUCCUCUCUUCAAAUCUCAUACCAGUAUCUUUUGAAUCUCAACCAGAAUCCACGAAUCUAGCCACGAAAUUUGAAACCCUAGCCCUUUGGCCCCUUUUUGAUUUUAUACCAAACCUAGGCCUUGAUGGCAACAAAACCUACAUCAGUCGAUCAAUCUCACGAAGAUCUUUAGAUUGAUGCUGGUCUUGUGAAGUUUCACAGCCAUCGACGCCGGUCAACUCACUGAUAACCGGCCAAAAUCGAUCAAUUCCUUCGUCUCCGUCCCCAUCGAACCCACAGUAGCCUUACUCUAGGAAGAUCCACCAGGACAUAGAAUUUCAAGGUGGAUCUCCUAGAAAAAGGUCCAUUGGUGGUCGGAUUAUGCCGAGUCGGCCACCAUUUGAAUCCUCCCAUUUUUGGCUCCACCUUGAUGGGUUGUUUUAGUAGAUGAAAAUUCCAGUGGAAGGUUCUCACUUUUAGAUCUGACCAUCUAUGAGUCAGAUUUGCACUUCCAGAACCAAAAGAUUAAUUGUGAUGGAUAGAUCUCUAGCAUAGAAGUGAUGUUUGUACGUUUGAGGAUUAGUAUAUUGUUAAAGGCUUUAAUCAAAUCUAUGCCGGAGUCAUAACGGUGCAGAAAAAGAGAAUAGGUACGCCUGGAUGUGAAGAAUGUGAGGGAUUUGACUUUAGAGUGGUUAGUUAGGAAACUUGCUUGUUUGAUUCUGAAAGACGAAAUUAGGCGUUUGUUUAUGUAAGAGUUCCUAUAAAUUUUGACAUGAUAAUUAUCUGGAUGAUUGUAAUUAUACUGCUUCACAUUUUAUUAUGGAAAGAUAUUUUGCAAA